CGCGGGAUGGAGCAGUUUGGUAGCUCGUCGGGCUCAUAACCCGAAGGUCGUAGGUUCAAAUCCUACUCCCGCAA
This is a transfer RNA of Anaerococcus prevotii ACS-065-V-Col13, 74 nucleotides long. It matches the Rfam family "tRNA". Rfam says of the family: Transfer RNA (tRNA) molecules are approximately 80 nucleotides in length. Their secondary structure includes four short double-helical elements and three loops (D, anti-codon, and T loops). The record is from Rfam. Lineage: Bacteria; Bacillati; Bacillota; Tissierellia; Tissierellales; Peptoniphilaceae.